This 991-nucleotide ribosomal RNA is filed under the name Stenotrophomonas geniculata. RNAcentral describes it as "bacterial SSU rRNA". It matches the Rfam family "Bacterial small subunit ribosomal RNA", at positions 51 to 1009 of the family's 1533-position model. The record is from RNAcentral. Lineage: Bacteria; Pseudomonadati; Pseudomonadota; Gammaproteobacteria; Lysobacterales; Lysobacteraceae.
ACACAUGCAAGUCGAACGGCAGCACAGAGGAGCUUGCUCUUAUGGGUGGCGAGUGGCGGACGGGUGAGGAAUACAUCGGAAUCUACCUUGUCGUGGGGGAUAACGUAGGGAAACUUACGCUAAUACCGCAUACGACCUACGGGUGAAAGCAGGGGAUCUUCGGGCCUUGCGCGAUUGAAUGAGCCGAUGUCGGAUUAGCUAGUUGGCGGGGUAAAGGCCCACCAAGGCGACGAUCCGUAGCUGGUCUGAGAGGAUGAUCAGCCACACUGGAACUGAGACACGGUCCAGACUCCUACGGGAGGCAGCAGUGGGGAAUAUUGGACAAUGGGCGCAAGCCUGAUCCAGCCAUGCCGCGUGGGUGAAGAAGGCCUUCGGGUUGUAAAGCCCUUUUGUUGGGAAAGAAAUCCAGCUGGCUAAUACCCGGUUGGGAUGACGGUACCCAAAGAAUAAGGACGGUACCCAAAGAAUACUCACCGGCUAACUUCGUGCCAGCAGCCGCGGUAAUACGAAGGGUGCAAGCGUUACUCGGAAUUACUGGGCGUAAAGCGUGCGUAGGUGGUCGUUUAAGUCCGUUGUGAAAGCCCUGGGCUCAACCUGGGAACUGCAGUGGAUACUGGGCGACUAGAAUGUGGUAGAGGGUAGCGGAAUUCCUGGUGUAGCAGUGAAAUGCGUAGAGAUCAGGAGGAACAUCCAUGGCGAAGGCAGCUACCUGGACCAACAUUGACACUGAGGCACGAAAGCGUGGGGAGCAAACAGGAUUAGAUACACUGGUAGUCCACGCCCUAAACGAUGCGAACUGGAUGUUGGGUGCAAUUUGGCACGCAGUAUCGAAGCUAACGCGUUAAGUUCGCCGCCUGGGGAGUACGGUCGCAAGACUGAAACUCAAAGGAAUUGACGGGGGCCCGCACAAGCGGUGGAGUAUGUGGUUUAAUUCGAUGCAACGCGAAGAACCUUACCUGGUCUUGACAUGUCGAGAACUUUCCAGAGAUGG